CAAUAGCGUAUAUUAAAGUUGUUGCGGUUAAAAGCUCGUAGUUGGAUUUCUGCCGAGGACGUCCGGUCCGCCCUCUGGGUGAGUACAUGGCACGGCCUGGGCAUCUUCUUGGGGAACGUAUCUGCACUUGACUGUGUGGUGCGGUAUCCAGGACUUUUACUUUGAGGAAAUUAGAGUGUUUAAAGCAGGCUCGCGCUAUGAAUACACUAGCAUGGAAUAAUAACUUAGGACUUUAGUCUUAUUUUGUUGGUUUCUAGGACUGAAGUAAUGAUUGAUAGGGAUAGUUGGGGGUGCUAGUAUUCAGCGGCCAGAGGUGAAAUUCUUGGAUUCGCUGAAGACUAACUUAUGCGAAAGCAUUCACCAAGGAUGUCUUCUUUAAUCAAGAACGAAAGUUGGGGGAUCGAAGACGAUCAGAUACCG
This 420-nucleotide ribosomal RNA is filed under the name uncultured eukaryote. RNAcentral's name for it is "bacterial SSU rRNA". It matches the Rfam family "Eukaryotic small subunit ribosomal RNA", at positions 592 to 1017 of the family's 1831-position model. The record is from RNAcentral.